RNAcentral lists this ribosomal RNA (494 nucleotides) under Dialister invisus. RNAcentral's name for it is "bacterial SSU rRNA". It matches the Rfam family "Bacterial small subunit ribosomal RNA", at positions 28 to 492 of the family's 1533-position model. The record is from RNAcentral. Lineage: Bacteria; Bacillati; Bacillota; Negativicutes; Veillonellales; Veillonellaceae.
GACGAACGCUGGCGGCGUGCUUAACACAUGCAAGUCGAACGAAAAGAGGGAAAGAGCUUGCUCUUUCCGGAAUUGAGUGGCAAACGGGUGAGUAACACGUAAACAACCUGCCUUCAGGAUGGGGACAACAGACGGAAACGACUGCUAAUACCGAAUAAGUUCCAAGGGCCGCAUGGCCCAUGGAAGAAAAGGUGGCCUCUACCUGUAAGCUAUCGCCUGAAGAGGGGUUUGCGUCUGAUUAGCUGGUUGGAGGGGUAACGGCCCACCAAGGCGACGAUCAGUAGCCGGUUGAGAGGAUGAACGGCCACACUGGAACUGAGACACGGUCCAGACUCCUACGGGAGGCAGCAGUGGGGAAUCUUCCGCAAUGGGCGAAAGCCUGACGGAGCAACGCCGCGUGAGUGAUGACGGCCUUCGGGUUGUAAAACUCUGUGAUCCGGGACGAAAAGGCAGAGUGCGAAGAACAAACUGCAUUGACGUACCGGAAAGCAGCC